Long non-coding RNA from Myotis daubentonii (Daubenton's bat), 7536 nucleotides. RefSeq lists it as uncharacterized. The transcript has 5 exons. Lineage: Eukaryota; Metazoa; Chordata; Mammalia; Chiroptera; Vespertilionidae. The record is from RefSeq and is a predicted model, not a curated record.
CAAGUGUCUUUGGAAGAACGCAGAACAGUGGCACAUACUCCAGGGACAUCGGGGUGCUGGGUGCCCUCUUGCUUCUCCGCCUUGCCCCAUUGCCCAUCCCUUCCAUCUCUCCUCCCACUCGCCUCUUCUUGUCAUCCUCAGCCCUGCCACUCUGUGCCAAGUCUAAUUUCUCCAAACCUCUCAACCUCAGCUCAAAUGUGCACCCAGGCUUCAUUUUCUUAAUCAUUGUUUAUCUUUCUAUGUCAGUUGACAUACAGUAUUAUGUUCAUUUCAGGUGUGUACCCCAGUGAUUAGCAUAUAGCUUACUAGCCGAUCAUACUGAUAAAUCUUAUACCCAUAUGACACCAUACACAGUUAUUAAAAUAUUAUUGACUAUAUUCCCUAUGCUGUACUUUACAUCCCCAUGACUAUCCUGUACCUACCAAUUUGCACUUCUUAAUCCCCUCAUCUUUCUCAGCCCUUCCUCCAAUUACCCUUCUGUCUGGCAACUAUCAAAAUGUUCUUUGUAUCUAUGAGUCUGCUUCUAUUCUGCUUGUUCCUUUAUUUUGUUUUUUUAGAUUCAAUAUUGAUAUUCAGUAUUGUUUUUUAGAUUCAAUGUUGAUAGAUAUAUAUUUAUUGCCAUUUUAUUAUUCAUAUUUUUAAAUAUUUCUUUCCUUCUUCAUAAAGAAUAUCCUUUUACAUUUUACAUAAUACUGGUUUGGUAGUGAUGAAGUCCUUUAACUUUUUCUUGAGGAAGCUCUUUGCAUGUCAUUCAAUUCUAAAUUAUAGCAUUGCUGGGUAGAGUAAUCUUGAUUGUAAGUCCUUCAUUUUCAUCACUUUGAAUAUUUCUUGCCACUCCUUUCUGGCUUACAGUUUCUAUUGAAAAAUCAGCUGACAGUCUUAUGGGAGCUGCCUUGUAAGUAACUAACUGCCUUUCCCCUGCUGUUUUAAAGAUUCUCUCUUUGUCCAGGAAGUGCAGAGAGUCCCAAACAAGAUCAGCCUAAAGAGGCCCACACCAAGACACAUCAUAAUUAAAAUGUAGCCAGACUUCAUGUUCGGGACAGAGCACAUUCCUCCAGCAGAGCAAAAAGGUAUUCGGAGUCUGUACGUCUCUCUUCUUUCUUAUUUCUUCUCUACUGGUGUGGACCUGUUUGCUGGAGUAGCUUGUCCAUUACAUAAGUUUAAUGCUGACCUGCUAAACCUUUGUUUCCCCGAGGACCUGUCCUCUCUGAGAGGCCGCACAGAGCAAAAUGCAGUCACCUCAACUGAGCUUCCCAGACCAGACAACCCUCAGCUGACCCACCAGCUGCUCAGUGAGACAGACCCCAGUCCAGUCAAGAUUUGCUGAGCUUUACCUGUAUCAGAGCAGUCCAUCUGAUCUUUGGUUCAAGAGAAAUAGGAAAUGUUUAUUGUUUAUGCCAUUGCCAUUUAUCGAUCAUAAACUAUGCCCCAUACUUUGCUAAAGGCAGAGAACAUAAUGAUGGAGGAAAUGUGAUCCCUGCUUUUGAAAGGAUCCCAAGCAAAGUUUAUCAACUGGAAUCAAUGAUAGUUUUGAGUUAUAGUGUCCCUCACUGGAGCGUGAUCAGAUUCCCUAGGCUCCUUGAGCCUGGAGCCUGUGUCUUCCCCAAGAUUGCAUCUCAGCCCCUAGUAGGCCAAUGAGUCAUCCACACCAUUACCUGUAUAAUUUGCUUUUGCUUCAAGAAGACUGUUUCUAAAUGCACUCCUUUUACAUUUGCUUUUGUUUGUUGCUUGGUCCUAACUUUACGUGACAAAUAGAAUCAGAGCUUUUCAUGUCUCUAAAGGGGAAGAGAACCAACAUUUGUCAAAUACUUAAAUACUUGCCAUGUCCCACCACCAUGCUAGGCAUGAUACAUCUCCAAUAACGUUAAUCCUCACCGUGACGACAGGAGGCUGAAUUUAUUACUGACAUUGUACAGAAAGAGAUACUGGGGCUCAGAGAGGUUAAGUAACCUGCCACAGGUCACACAGUGUGUAUGUGGAAUAGAAUUGCUGUUGUUUUAUUUAAAACGUACUCUUCUCCCCACUCCCAGUGCUAAUAUUCUACCUUGAAUAACACCUGGGUCAAUCCCUUAUCUGAUGACAUAAAAUCUUCAGUUUUGUGAUGACUUGAAAAGGCUCUCAAUAAAGGAAGAGAGCAGGCAAGCCACAGUCCAAAGAAGACUUAUGCAUUUUCAACUGGAGAACAAUGAGAGUUAGAUUUUAUGGAAUCACAGGGGGGUAGAUUAGCGUGUGGGGUGUGUAAUGACAGGGCCCACGAACAUUCCUGGAUUGAAGAGUUUAUGCCCGUCUUCCUGCCUUCACCAGCUGUACUCGCCUCUGAUUUAAUUACAUGUUUAGGGUACAGAUGCCUCUAGAAUUGCAAACCAUAUCUUGCUUCCUAUGAAGGGUUAUUGGUUAGAUGACACUCAGCUCAUGGAAUGCAGAGAGAAGAAAGAGAUGUCAGCUUGUCCCUUAGCAGUGGAGAUAUAUGUGAGUCAUUGUGAGUCAAGAUUUAUUCAUCAAUUUACUCAAAAAUAUCUACUGUUUACUUUGGUAAACAUUUAUUGUCUAUUUUUGGCCAGUCAGAGUAUUCCAUUCUCCUAGACAGAAUAAUUAGUGCAGGGGUAGGAAGAUAGCCUAAUCUAUGCUAGAGUCCAAUAUCAGGAAUUAACAUGGAUACUCAAAAAGUGUCUCUCAGACACUGAGCAAAAAGAUCUUCGGUUGCCAGGGGCCAUUUUAUCCACCACAAUAAGACAUUCUGCCGGAGAAGGAAGCCAACACAGAGGAAACAGAACUGCAACGUGGAGAAAGAAGAAACAGUUGAACACCUAGAUCCUGCCGUGCCUGAAUCCCUAGACUUUUGUAGCUUCCUUGAGCAGAUACCCUCACUGCACUCAAUACUAGAGUUGGGGGCUGGCAAUAUGAGAAUAUGAAUUCCUUUCCUUACUUGAAUUAUCAAUAAACUGUUGCAGGAACAGCCUAUUGGGGGCAUAGCUGGUAUUAUAGAGCAAGCAGAGGGCUUGUAGUCAGAGCUGUGGGUUUGAAUCCUAGUCCUGGAAUUUGUUCUUUUAAAGUCUAAUUAUAGGAUCUACUGAUCUCGUCCCAGGAGUCAGGACAAUAAUAGGCUGUCUGCUCAUCCCACAUUGAGCUCCCAGUCUUGUGGGGCAUCUGGGCUUACUAACUGGUUGCAUCAUUUUGGAAAACUAGUUGACCUCUGUGACCCUCAGUUUACUUAUUUGUAAACAGGGGCUACUGAGAGGUGUGCGAAUCAAAUGAACCAGUGGAUAUGAGAGCACUUUAUAAACUGUGAAGGGAGCACACCCAAAAGCUCCCAAGGGCAGGGCCUGUCUGAGUCAGCACUGAGCAAAUAUUCAUUUAAGUAUUAAAUGCCUAACAACAACAUGGUUGAUGUGCAACACGCUUGUUGAAAGAGUAAAAUAACUGAAGCAAAUCCUCUUUAAGAAGAUACUAAAAAAUUGUCCUCCUCCUCCUUCAUCAUUUUUUUAUAACCCAGCUUAAAAUGUAUCACUGGAGAGGGCCCAGCUUCACUGGCCAUGAGAAGCUUUGAUCUGGAGGCUCCUCGUGCCCGUUAACGAUUGCUGCCUGACAAACCAUCACAACACUUACCCUGGAAAACAAACAAACACCCAAACCCAAACCAACCACUUAUUAUUGUUGGAGUGUGUGGGUCAGCUGGGCAGUUUUGCUGAUCUCAGCUGGGCUUGGCUGGUCUUAUCUGUUUUCAUGCAUCAGGUGCCAGCUAGUGGGCCAGCUGGAGAAUGGCUGGGAUGGGAUGCCAUCAGAUGAGAAGCACCGUUCUCCGACAGGCUAGCCUGAACUCAUGGUGGCGGCAUGUUUCCAAAAGACUGUGGAAUCAUGCAAAGCCUCUUGCAGUCUGGGCUCAGAACCGGUCCACUCCACAGUUUCCAAAGCAAUGUGUAACCAGGCUGGCCCAGAUUUCGGUGGUAGGAACACAGACUUCACGUACAGGUGGGAGGAGUUGUAAAGUCACAUCGCAAGUGAUGCAGAAGCAGGGAGGAUAGAAAUUGGAAUAUAUUUGCAAUCAAUCAAAUGACCUUUGAACCUAAGUGGAAUAGUCCUUUAAUGCUAGACACUCAAAAGGAAAAAUGUAGAUUCUCUCCUAUCUUACCUCUUCAUCUCUCCUUGCCCCUGGGGGAGGCUUCAAGAUCUCUUCUAUCUAGGUAAUUAUGGGAGCUCCAAACCGAUACCUGCCUUCAAGCCAGUUUGACAAUCAUUUAUUUUGGGUCUUCUAUCUCCCCAGGGCUGGGCUAAGCUUAGAAGAAAAAACAGAUGUUCCAGCAGUCGCCAACUGGUGGUCCAUGAGGUCCGGAAGGUUGGCGACCACUGUUCUAGAACACAGACACACUACCUGUAACACAGGCGGAUAAAUGCUUCUGCACCUUCUCACUGCAAAUCACUCCCCCUUUGCCACCAGCAUUACUCUCAUAAAGGUCUUUGUUGCCUACAAGAGUAACGACCUCAUUUCUCAGCCUGGCAUUCAGCGCAUUCACCAAUUGCUCCCCACCUCUCCUUCCAGCCUCUUGCCCUGUUACUGCUGGGAGAGAAAAGAAUACUCAACUAAAUCAGAAUCCUAGGGUCCCACAACUGAAUUUCCUUUUCUCUGUCUCACCCUCAUCUCUGCCUGUUUAAAUCCCACUCAUCCUAUGAAGAUCUUGCUCAAUCGCCAACCUCCUCCACAGGGCCGUCCCUCCCCAGCCUACCUGGAAUCUCUCUCUUCUUUUUCUCUGCUUCCCUCGUCAUUUUUUACUAUAUUACCACAUUCUUGUGUUGUGUACCACACCAAUGGCAGACCUCUCACCUGUGUGUCCAUCAGGCUACCUGGUGUGUCUGCCUCCUGGGAGCUGCCAAGUCAGUGCUAUGGACCUGACUUGAACUACUUCCCAGUUCCCUCCACCUGCUCUGCAACCUUGCCUCACAUCUCAGAGCUGGCCAGCGUCACAGUCCCUUUCCAGGACUCGGUUUAGCCAGCGGUGAAAGCCGCACUUGAGUUGGGAUAUGGCCGAGCUGCCGAAUUGGCAUGAACGAUAGGCCUAAAAACAGUCAUGCUCCGUGACAGGGGAUCGGUUACUUAUUGUAUGUAAUUCCUCCUCUGGCCACUUUUCUGAGGCUUGAACCCACAGUGCCUCGCUGACUUUAUUUUUAGGUGUCUGGCCGUUUGAAAGAGGGCUCCAACUGUCCUUGGUUUAUUAUUACACUGUGAGCUGCCCUGGGAAACCCAGUGCCCUGAUUCUGAGAAGACAACCUGUCUAGUUGAGACUCUUUUUUACUCUAAGUUUGAAACUCCGUGUUCUAGGUGAGUGGCUUUCAAACUUCAGCGUCAGUAAGAAUCAUCCGAGGUAUUUGAAGGCAUGCAAAUUCCUGGGCAUUAUCUUUAGAGUUUCUGAAUUCCUAUGUCUGGGCAGGGCCCCAGGACCAUGUAAUUUUCUCAGGCUCCCAGGUGAUUCUGCUGCUGACUGAUCAUACUUAGGAAAAAACUACUGUAGAAUUGUAAGCAUCAGACAAUGAAGAAAAAUGUUUGCCACAGUUAAGCAACUGAUGUGAUGACAAAGUUAUCACAGCUCAGAGAUCAAGAAGGUCUCCAAGCACCUCCCCUUUCAUCAUGCCACUCCUCUGCUCACGAACAUGCAAUGGCUCCAUCUUUCCUCUUCCAGAUCAAGCACAAACUCCUCCUUUGAUAUCUCACCUGCAGGGGAUGGGCUAUUUCACCCCGCUGCUUUUCAUUCUGCUUAUUUUAUAUCCAAUCUCUUCUUCAUUAGAAUCACCAACGUUUUAUUGAAAGCCUUCCUUAUGUCAGGAACUGUCCCAUUCAUUCAUUCAUUCAUUCAUUUAAUCUUCAGGUCAGCCUUGAGAUAAAGUUAUUAUCAUGAUCCCCAUUGCUGCUGCAGCUCAAGGCCUGAGUCAUUUCAUUAAGGGAGUGCUCUGCGUCGGCCCUGUUCCGGCCAACAGCUGCAAGGUGCCAGACUGAAGCAGGUUGCCUCAACUUUGUCAACUCUAACUUGCUGUGUGACUUCAGCCUGCCCUCCUCAAGUCCUCAACUCUUGAAGCUACGGUCAAGUGUGAGCAGAGACACGCUGAGUCUAUCUGAGGCCAUCACUGCAAUGAUUCUGAGUUGCAGACUCAGGUGGGACUGAGGCCAGGAAGGAGGGAAAUGCCAUGGGAAAGAUGCCAGCUACAGGACCUCCAGCUACCAUGUCACGAAUAUGCUCAGGAAGCCUGUGGUGAAACCCAACAGGUGGGAUCCGAGACCUGCAAACAGCCACAUGCGUACACUUGGAAGUGGACCUUCUGAGUCUGCCAACAGCCAUGCGAGGGAGCUUGGAAAGAAAUUCUCCAGCCUCACUGAGCCUUGAGAUCACUGUAGCUGUCACCAACACCCUCGAUGCCACUUCAUGAGACACCCAGAGCCAAAGGCAUCCUGCUAAGCAGGGACCAGAUUCCUGACCCCCCAAAACUGUGAGGCAAUAGGUGCCCAUGAUCUUAAGUUGCUAAUCAUUGAAGUAGUUUGUUGUAAAAUAAUAGAUCAUUGAUACAGCUUCCUAAAAUAGUUGGUCAUUGAUAACUUUCUAUACUCUUUCUUUUCACCUUCUCUCCACAGAUCACCCAUGGCCUUCUCUCAGGUAGCCACCUGUCCAGAGAAUGGAAUUUGAGAAAUAACAGCGUAAGGUAUUAAAUGACUAUCUUCCAAAUGUUCUAAACCAAGCAUGUCAAACUCGCGGUACAUUUUGUUAAUGUCCUGAACUUGGAUUAAAACCCCAAAGAACUGGUUUACUGUCUUUAGAUGAAUAUAGGAAUAAUAGGUAAUCUUCAGACUAAAAAUUUAUUUAAAUUAAGGUUCCUACACCACUAUAAAAAAAGAAAUACAACUCUGGAAAAUUAUCAGAAAUAACUACUAUUUCAUCUUCUACCCUCUGAACUCCGUGUUUUCCAGGUUCUAUAAAAAAAAUAUACAGCCGCUGGGCUUUAGAGAUAUGUUACUAAGCACAAACAUCUCCUCUGCAUCCUCGCCGUAAGACAUAAAACAAUGCAUCACUGUUGUCUAUGAGCUCUGGGGAAUGUCUUGGUUGUCCUGAAACCUGCUUUGGCUUCUGACUUAGGCUACAGCUUACUCACAGUUUCAUGACGUUGAUCUUACUGACUCGUGAAUCACACGGGCCAAUAGUGUGUUUUACCCUCAUACAUUACCCUAAAGUCUUUUUAAUUGAGCUGGUUAAAAACAGAAGGGACAUGGGCUCAGAAUAAAUGAUUCUGGAGAGUUUAAAUACUCAGCUCUAUCUUUUGUUACCAGUAGAUGUUGAAAAAUGGUCACCAAUUUCAAUGAUAUUAUUGAUGUUGUUAUUAUUAUAGAAGAGGGUAUGGGGGAUAAAUGGUGACAGAAGAAAACUAGACCUGGGAUGGUGAACACACAAUACAAUAUAUAGAUGAUGUACUAUAGAGUUGUACUCCUGAAAUCUAUAUAAUAUUAUUAACCACUGUCACCCCAAUAAAUUCAAUAAAAAAUACAGGAAAAAAUCAAUG